CCUGGAAACAGAUGCUAAUACCGGAUAACAACACUAGACGCAUGUCUAGAGUUUAAAAGAUGGUUCUGCUAUCACUCUUGGAUGGACCUGCGGUGCAUUAGCUAGUUGGUAAGGUAACGGCUUACCAAGGCAAUGAUGCAUAGCCGAGUUGAGAGACUGAUCGGCCACAUUGGGACUGAGACACGGUCCAAACUCCUACGGGAGGCAGCAGCG
Molecule: ribosomal RNA, 213 nt
Filed under: uncultured bacterium
Lineage: Bacteria
Description: partial 16S ribosomal RNA
Rfam family: Bacterial small subunit ribosomal RNA
Source: RNAcentral